GCCUGGGUGGCUCAGUCUGUUGAGCGUCUGACUUCGGCUCAGGUCAUGAUCUCACAGUUGACGAGUUCGAGCCCCGCUUCGGGCU
Felis catus (domestic cat) is the source of this 85-nucleotide non-coding RNA. NCBI's taxonomy places the organism in Eukaryota, Metazoa, Chordata, Mammalia, Carnivora, Felidae. The record is from Rfam.